AAUAACUCCAGAGAGCUGCUAUUGUUGUUGGAGUUCUGUUGAUCUUGCAUACCAGCCACGCCCCCACUAUUGCAGUUAUGAGGAGCCCACUCCCAAAUUGCAAAAUGGCUAGCUGGAGGAGGUGUAGAGAUCUGAAGGUUGUCUAGCGCUGCAGGAGUAGGUGGUCAGUCCCAGUUCUCUGUAGCUACCCUGGAUGUGGACGGCAUGGCUGGUCGCAAUGAGGAGAGGAUGAGACGAUUGGACGCUAUACUCAACGCUGGGACCCACACUGGCAGUAGUCGAGGCGUGGGAGGACACAGUGGAGUGGGCGGACCCAGUAGAAGUGUGAGGGGAGUGGAGCCGGGGGAGGACUCGGAAUCAAUCAUCAGUAAUUUCCUCAAUCGUAGGGGACCGGGACGACCAUCACUGACACGAGGCUCAGAGAUGAGUCUGGAGUGUGAGACUGCCUACCAGAGACUGGGAACUCCAAGCAAUUAACAUAAUUAUGUACAAUAAUUUAUGUAUGUUAUAUCUUUCAAAUUAAUGGUCGCUCAUUGAAUAAAAAUUCUCAUUGAUUAUGUCAAAUUAA
Halichondria panicea is the source of this 568-nucleotide long non-coding RNA. RefSeq lists it as uncharacterized. The record is from RefSeq and is a predicted model, not a curated record. The transcript is spliced from 2 exons. Lineage: Eukaryota; Metazoa; Porifera; Demospongiae; Suberitida; Halichondriidae.